Molecule: ribosomal RNA, 430 nt
Filed under: bacterium
Lineage: Bacteria
Description: partial 16S ribosomal RNA
Rfam family: Bacterial small subunit ribosomal RNA
Source: RNAcentral
UGGGGAAUAUUGGACAAUGGGGGGAACCCUGAUCCAGCCAUGCCGCGUGUGUGAAGAAGGCCUUAUGGUUGUAAAGCACUUUAAGCGAGGAGGAGGCUCUCUUGGUUAAUACCCAAGAAGAGUGGACGUUACUCGCAGAAUAAGCACCGGCUAACUCUGUGCCAGCAGCCGCGGUAAUACAGAGGGUGCGAGCGUUAAUCGGAUUUACUGGGCGUAAAGCAUGCGUAGGCGGCUUUUUAAGUCGGAUGUGAAAUCCCCGAGCUUAACUUGGGAAGUGCAUUCGAUACUGGGAAGCUAGAGUAUGUGAGAGGAUGGUAGAAUUCCAGUUGUAGCGGUGAAAUGCGUAGAGAUCUGGAGGAAUACCGAUGGCGAAGGCAGCCAUCUGGCCUAAUACUAACGCUGAGGUACGAAAGCAUGGGGAGCAAACAGG